This 468-nucleotide ribosomal RNA is filed under the name uncultured bacterium. RNAcentral describes it as "partial 16S ribosomal RNA". It matches the Rfam family "Bacterial small subunit ribosomal RNA", at positions 28 to 507 of the family's 1533-position model. The record is from RNAcentral.
GACGAACGCUGGCGGCGUGCUUAACACAUGCAAGUCGAACGGAAAGGCCCUGCUUUUGUGGGGUGCUCGAGUGGCGAACGGGUGAGUAACACGUGAGUAACCUGCCCUUGACUUUGGGAUAACUUCAGGAAACUGGGGCUAAUACCGGAUAGGAGCUCCUGCUGCACGGUGGGGGUUGGAAAGUUUCGGCGGUUGGGGAUGGACUCGCGGCUUAUCAGCUUGUUGGUGGGGUAGUGGCUUACCAAGGCUUUGACGGGUAGCCGGCCUGAGAGGGUGACCGGCCACAUUGGGACUGAGGUACGGCCCAGACUGCUACGGGACGCAGCAGUGGGGAAUAUUGCACAAUGGGCGGAAGCCUGAUGCAGCAGCGCCGCGUGCGGGAUGACGGCCUUCGGGUUGUAAACCUCUUUCGCCUGUGACGAAGCGUGAGUGACGGUAAUGGGUAAAGAAGCCCCGGCUAACUACGUG